Long non-coding RNA from Melanotaenia boesemani (Boeseman's rainbowfish), 976 nucleotides. RefSeq lists it as uncharacterized. The transcript has 4 exons. Lineage: Eukaryota; Metazoa; Chordata; Actinopteri; Atheriniformes; Melanotaeniidae. The record is from RefSeq and is a predicted model, not a curated record.
CAAUGCUUGAGCACACUUGUGGAAAACACACACAGCCCCAGUUUGUGAAGCAGCUCCUGAAACAACACGACGCAGCGACAGGUGGGAAUUUCAUCAAGAGGUUUUCAUUUGUCCAAGGUUGUCAAUAUUGCAGAGAAAGGUGUUAAAUAUCAGAUGAUGACUCGGUGACCUGAGUUUGAUAUCUCAUGAAAAUAUUUUGUCUCAUCGUUAACAUGCUCCCAGGAGCCAAUCAAAGGGGCUCUACUCCACCAGGCAGGCCACAGCGAGUCGUUUCUCGAUGGUAAGGUUCGAUGGGACCAACAAGAAGAGUGAUUCUAAAUCACACUCCUCUGGACAGAUUAUCAGGGAUAAUCUCAAUUUUAACAACCAAACUGAAGACUGAAAACUGCUCAGAUGCCUUCCUGAGAACACACCAUCAACUCCACAGAGGCUGUAGGACCCCAGUAACUCCCCAGUCUCCACAAAAACUUUAAGGGCUUGAAAACUUCCAAAUAGUCUUGAACCACAGAUUUUUCUUAAGAGCCACUUAAGGAUCCAGAAGUCAUCAGAACCUCAUUAGAGAUCAAUAAUGAAGUUUCUCGGGUGUGAGCAGACACGUCUUUAACGUAAAAUACUUCAAAGACAACCACAUACUCUUCAGCAGCUGAAAACCUAUAUCAGGCAAGACUGGCACCAAAUUACAACAUCAAAACCCAUGAAACUCAUGACCUCGAUGCCCAGAUGUCUUCAAAUUCUUCUGAAAAGAAUAUGAGAUGCUACACCACGGUAAACUCGCCCCGUACCAACUAUGUUCAGACCUGUAGCAAGCAUCACAUCUGACAUGAGCCCAUGUUGUACAUAAAACUGCAGAAUUUCUCAUUUUUUACAGUUAUAUACUGUACAUACUCACCCUGUCAUACUGUACAUAUAACUUAUUGUGUGUGUGUGUGUUCUUUUUUUAUAUAACCUCUGUGCUUCUCCUUACUGCGCCUGUACU